This 206-nucleotide ribosomal RNA is filed under the name uncultured bacterium. RNAcentral describes it as "partial 16S ribosomal RNA". It matches the Rfam family "Bacterial small subunit ribosomal RNA", at positions 1284 to 1500 of the family's 1533-position model. The record is from RNAcentral.
GGUCCCAGUUCGGACUGCAGGCUGCAACCGCCUGCACGAAGCCGGAGUUGCUAGUAAUCGCGAAUCAGAAUGUCGCGGUGAAUGCGUUCCCGGGUCUUGUACACACCGCCCGUCACACCAUGGAAGUUGGGGGUGCCCAAAGCCGGCAAGCAAAUAUGCUGUCUAAGGCAAAACCAAUGACUGGGGUGAAGUCGUAACAAGGUAUC